CGUUAGUUUUUUAAUUGGAAUCUUGUAUGAAUGGUUGGACAAAAGAAGAUCUGUCUUUAUAUUGUUUAUUGAAUUUUACUUUUAAGUGAAAAGGCUUAAAUGUAUUAAAGGGACGAUAAGACCCUAUAAAGCUUAAUAUUAAAUUUUAUCUAGUCAAAUUUUAGGUUAUAAAGAUUUUGUAAAUUGAAUUUAUUUUAUUGGGGCGAUAAGAGUAAAAUGAUUAUUAACUGCUUAAUAUUAAGUACACUUAUAUGUGAUUAAAAUUUUAAAUGAUCCUAAUUAAAGAUUAAAAGUUUAAGUUACUUUAGGGAUAACAGCGUUAUUUUUCUUAAGAGUACUUAUCGAAAGAAA
This 351-nucleotide ribosomal RNA is filed under the name Eriocheir japonica (Japanese mitten crab). Its description in RNAcentral is "partial 16S ribosomal RNA". The record is from RNAcentral. Lineage: Eukaryota; Metazoa; Arthropoda; Malacostraca; Decapoda; Varunidae.